RNAcentral lists this long non-coding RNA (282 nucleotides) under Gossypium barbadense (sea-island cotton). RNAcentral's name for it is "long non-coding RNA (GBAR_LNC011232)". The record is from RNAcentral. Lineage: Eukaryota; Viridiplantae; Streptophyta; Magnoliopsida; Malvales; Malvaceae.
AAUUAUUGUACUAACUUGAAUGUUGAGUUUGUGCAUAUUAGGGUAAUAAUGCAUUGAAUGGAUAUAUGGAUGUUUAUUAUAUUGUAUUGAAAAUAUUAGGUAAGUAUAAUUCUUGUUACAUGAGCUUACUAAGCACAAAGUGCUUACCCCGUUUCCUUUUUCCCUGUUUUGUAGUAUUAAGAGCUCGGAGGUCGGAUUUGGUCGGAGACACAUCACACUGUCAACCUCAGGAUUUCGGUAUAUAAAGAAACUUUAUUUUGGAAAUCAAUGGCAUGUAUAAGC